CAACAAAUAUUUUAAAUAAAAUAUUAAUUUUGGGUGUUAAAAAUAUAGAGUUUUCUAUUUUGUUGA
This 66-nucleotide transfer RNA is filed under the name Nephotettix virescens. RNAcentral describes it as "tRNA-Pro". Lineage: Eukaryota; Metazoa; Arthropoda; Insecta; Hemiptera; Cicadellidae. The record is from RNAcentral.